Molecule: transfer RNA, 77 nt
Filed under: Sanguibacter antarcticus
Lineage: Bacteria; Bacillati; Actinomycetota; Actinomycetes; Micrococcales; Sanguibacteraceae
Description: tRNA-Pro
Rfam family: tRNA
About the family: Transfer RNA (tRNA) molecules are approximately 80 nucleotides in length. Their secondary structure includes four short double-helical elements and three loops (D, anti-codon, and T loops). Further hydrogen bonds mediate the characteristic L-shaped molecular structure. tRNAs have two regions of fundamental functional importance: the anti-codon, which is responsible for specific mRNA codon recognition, and the 3' end, to which the tRNAs corresponding amino acid is attached (by aminoacyl-tRNA synthetases). tRNAs cope with the degeneracy of the genetic code in two manners: having more than one tRNA (with a specific anti-codon) for a particular amino acid; and 'wobble' base-pairing, i.e. permitting non-standard base-pairing at the 3rd anti-codon position.
Source: RNAcentral
CGGGAUGUGGCGCAGCUUGGUAGCGCACCUGACUGGGGGUCAGGGGGUCGCAGGUUCAAAUCCUGUCAUCCCGACUA